GCAGACUCACUCUGCACCCUGCUGCAACCCCAAGUGUGGGUGCUUUUUCCAUCUGCCACAGAAACGUGCCAGGGGACCGGAACCACUUUGACCUGUCAAAGUGGAUGGAGCUUCCUGGGGACAGAUAU
Molecule: small nucleolar RNA, 128 nt
Organism: Sorex araneus (European shrew)
Lineage: Eukaryota; Metazoa; Chordata; Mammalia; Eulipotyphla; Soricidae
Product: small nucleolar RNA SNORA77
Exons: 1
Source: RefSeq, a predicted model, not a curated record